GCCUGGGUGGCGAAACCGGUAGACGCAUCGGACUUAAAAUCCGCCGGCCGCGAGGCCAUGAGGGUUCGAGUCCCUCCCCAGGCACCA
Molecule: transfer RNA, 87 nt
Filed under: Thermomonas carbonis
Lineage: Bacteria; Pseudomonadati; Pseudomonadota; Gammaproteobacteria; Lysobacterales; Lysobacteraceae
Also listed under: 2 other names
Description: tRNA-Leu
Rfam family: tRNA
About the family: Transfer RNA (tRNA) molecules are approximately 80 nucleotides in length. Their secondary structure includes four short double-helical elements and three loops (D, anti-codon, and T loops).
Source: RNAcentral